RNAcentral lists this ribosomal RNA (781 nucleotides) under uncultured bacterium. RNAcentral's name for it is "SSU rRNA". It matches the Rfam family "Bacterial small subunit ribosomal RNA", at positions 73 to 853 of the family's 1533-position model. The record is from RNAcentral.
GCGGUGCUUGCACCGUGGAUUAGUGGCGAACGGGUGAGUAACACGUGAGUAACCUGGCCUUAACUCUGGGAUAAGCCUUGGAAACGGGGUCUAAUACUGGAUAUGCACUUUCUCUCGCAUGGGGGUUGGUGGAAAGCUUUUGUGGUUUUGGAUGGACUCACGGCCUAUCAGCUUGAUGGUGGGGUAAUGGCCUACCAUGGCGGUGACGGGUAGCCGGCCUGAGAGGGUGACCGGCCACACUGGGACUGAGACACGGCCCAGACUCCUACGGGAGGCAGCAGUGGGGAAUAUUGCACAAUGGGCGAAAGCCUGAUGCAGCGACGCCGCGUGAGGGAUGACGGCCUUCGGGUUGUAAACCUCUUUCAGUAUUGAACAAGGCCAUGCUUUUGUGUGGUUGAGGGUAGGUACAGAAGAAGCACCGGCUAACUACGUGCCAGCAGCCGCGGUAAUACGUAGGGUGCGAGCGUUAUCCGGAAUUAUUGGGCGUAAAGAGCUCGUAGGCGGUUUGUCGCGUCUGUCGUGAAAGUUCGGGGCUUAACUCCGAAUGUGCGGUGGGUACGGGCAGGCUAGAGUGAUGUAGGGGUAACUGGAACUCCUGGUGUAGCGGUGGAAUGCGCAGAUAUCAGGAAGAACACCGAUGGCGAAGGCAGGUUACUGGGCAUUUACUGACGCUGAGGAGCGAAAGCAUGGGGAGCGAACAGGAUUAGAUACCCUGGUAGUCCAUGCCGUAAACGUUGGGCACUAGGUGUGGGGGACAUUCCACGUUUUCCGCGCCGUAGCU